RNA transcript from Cucumis sativus (cucumber), 4224 nucleotides. It is a transcript of the gene named cation/H(+) antiporter 18-like, with no coding region annotated. The transcript is spliced from 3 exons. The record is from RefSeq and is a predicted model, not a curated record. Lineage: Eukaryota; Viridiplantae; Streptophyta; Magnoliopsida; Cucurbitales; Cucurbitaceae.
UUUGAUUUUCCUGUUUUCUGGAAGAGUAAUGAAGAAUGUCGAAUGCUAAUGCUUUCUCUGGAUUUCAACAAUUGUUCUUCAAUCCAAAAAAUGGGAAACCUUUGAUUUGCUCAAACUUCUCUACAAAUUACAUGAAAGAAACCACUCUUCUUUCUUCUCUUUUCUCUCUCAUUUCCCCCUCCACCACCCAUUUCCUUCUUCCCAACCUCUAACUCAAACCCAAUGUCCCCAUUUCAAGAUUCCUCUCUCGAUCUUUCCCCAUCCCGUUCCGCCAUGGAAGUCCGGAUGGAAAUGGACUUUCCUUUUACCUGUCAUCCUUCCAAUCCAAUCAACUUUACAGGCAUUUGGCUCCUUCAUGACUUUCUUUCUUUUUCCCUCCCUCUCCUCCUCUUGCAUCCUUCCCUUGCCUCCAUUUUAACUCGCUUCCUCGCCUUCUUUCUUAAGCGCUGUGCUCAACCCUCCUUUAUUUCGCAGAUUCUUCUAACUCUCUUUCUCACGUUCUCUCUUUUUUAUUUGACUUGUAUACUUUUUGCCUCUCAUUGUUGCUUGUUCUGAUGAUAAUUCUAUGUUUUCCAUUGCCCUCUUUAAUGGGUCUUGUCUAGAUUUAUGAAUAUUUAUGUAGUUUAUUGUGGGCAAUUUUAUCUAAAUAGUUUAGUUUAAAUGGGUUUGCUUAUAUCUAUAUGAGUGUUAAGUUGCGAGGAGUGUUAUGAUGUUCUUAAGUUUCAUUUCUUCUUAAAAUCAGGAUUUGCUUGACUUGGGUAUGAGUAUUCAGUAUCCAAAGAAUGACCAAUGCAAUUUUCAAUACAAUAAUGGUUACAUAGUCUGUUGAACAUUCAAGUUGUACUUUAACUUGACAAUGCUGACUUCAUAUCUUAAUCUCUGGUUCUUCAUAGGUGCUUUGAUCAUACUUGAUACAAAUACUGCACACUGAAAAUUGUUGAGUCUUUAGAGGAAAACUAGCAUUUAUAGCUUGCUUGGUUUUGUUAACUGCCAUUCAUACCUUACUUUGUUUGUAGAGGAAAAUAAUUUAUGGUUGACAUCUUUUCCGUCCAAACAUGGAUUGCUGCUGGAUUUUAUUUUAUUUUAUUUUUGAGAUACUAAAGUCAUGGGAUAUGAAGCUAAAUGGUUUUAUUUUAAUCAGGCUGGCAUAAUAUUGGGACCUUCAGUUCUUGGCUACUAAUUAUUUGCAAGUAUAGUUUUCCCAUAGAGUGGAAUAAAUGUAUUAGAAACCUUUUCUAUUUUUGGUCUGAUGCUUUUUAUCUUUCAAAUUGGAGUGAAGAGGCACCCAAUGGUCAUUGUAAAAUCGGGUAAAAAAGCAUUGCCUGUUGGAAUUUUAAGCUUCAUUCUUCCUAACGCACUGACUAGACUCACUUCCUUUGUUCUCAAGAAUUUUCUCUCAUUGGACAAGGAGAUGUCAAGUGUGCUACCUCAUGUGGUGAUGCUACUAUCCAUGACGUCCUUUCCAGUGGUUGCUUGCUUUCUCGAUGAGUUUGAGAUUCUUAACUCAGAUAUUGGUCGUCUGACUUGUUCUUCUUCUAUGGGGCUCUUUGGGUUGUUCAAAAUAGCCCAGAAGGAAAACCUGUGAAGGAAAUUUAUAUAUAUGCAGUUUUUGUUGCAUUGCUGAUUUGUGGACUCUUGGGUGAGCUACCGAUCUAACGGCUGUUUACACAUCAUUUGUUUUGGGUUUGGUCAUUCCAGAUGGUCCACCCUUAGGAGCUGCACUAACAGAUAUGCUUGAUUGCUUUGUAUCAGUAUUGCUCAUGCCAAUAUUCUUCAUUGCUUGUGGAUUAAGAAUGAAUGUUUUUUCUAUACAGAAUUUGGAGAAUGUGGGUGUAAUUCACCUAGUUGUUUUUGUUUCACUCUUUGGAAAGGUUGUGAGGAGCAUACUGCCUUCUCUUAUCUGUAGGAUGCAUUUCGAGAUGCACUCACUCUCGGACUUAUUAUGAACUGCAAAGGCAUUGAACUUGUAAUCUUGAUUAGCUGGAAAGUACAGAAUGUCAUGAAUGAUGAAAGCUUUACCAUUAUGAUUUAUUUCACCUCUUAUCAAGGCCAUAUAUAAUCCUUCGAGGAGGUUUCUUGCUUACAAACGGAGGACUAUCUUACAUCUUAGAAAUGAUGAAGAACUUCGAAUACUUGCUUGCAUCCAUGGAUUAGAGAAUGCCCAGGCAAUUCUAGAUCUCCUUUUGGUAUCAAAUCCGACCCAUCAGAGCCACAUUAAUUUGAUUGUCCUACAUCAUAUUAAGCUUGCAGGCCGUUUUUCUCCACUUUUAAUUCCUCAUCAGCCUCGUGAAAGGUCUUUUUCAUGUAAGACACUGUCGGAACAGAUAUUCAGUGCUUUUAGAAGGCUUGAAGGACAUUUCAGUGACCGUAUCAUAAUAACUUGCUACGAAGGUAUUUCACCAUACCCAACCAUGUACAAUGAUGUAUGCUCAUUAGCACUUGACAAGAGAACGACCUUUAUUGUCAUCCCUUUCCAUAGGCAACAUAUGGCUGGCGAAGGGUUAAAAUCAUCUCAUGCUAUGAGACGUUAUACAAUAAUGUACUUGAGAAGGCACCUUGUACUGUUGGAGUUUUAAUUGAUAAUGGGAAUGUCAGGUCUUCCCAUAAUUUUUCGUGUCUGGCAUUCCAUCGAGUGGUAGUGCUCUUUUUUGGUGGUGCCGAUGAUUGAGAGGCAUUAGCAUUUGCAACACGAGUGUCAGAACAGGAUAGAAUAAUGGUCACUCUGUUUCAUUUCUCGUCUUCGGAAGAGAUUGUUGGGAGUACAGCUAGCGGCAAGAUGCUUGAUACAAAGUUAUUGAGUGAAUUUAAGCUCAAAACCUCUCAAAAUAACCGAAUAUCUUGCCAAUAUAAGGUGGUCAUGGAUGGCGGGGAUAUAGAUUUCUGUAUCUCUUCAAAAUGCUUAUGACCUUGUAAUGAUUGGAAGGCGACAUGCCGAAUCAUGGUUGAUGUCUGAUGUUAGGAAAUCUAACGAAUGGCAGGGCGAUUUGGGGGCUGUUGGAGACUUUCUUGCUUCAUUCGACCAUGAGUGUGGACAUCUAUACUUGUGGUUCAACAGCAGACAGAAUUAUGGGGACUGCGAGACCCCAAAGAUUCGACACGUUUGAGAAGAGUGAAAAUAUAAGCAGUUUUUUAGGACCUUAAUAUCAACUGCAAUGAUAUCUGACUUAUUUUAUUGCAUAGACAUUGUCCCUCCAUCAGUAUAUAGUUCAGAGUUGGGCCUCUACUUUUGGUUCCAGUUUUUCCUUCUCUUGAUAUGUUAACAUAAUGCAGAGAACAUCUUAAUUAAGAUUGGGAAAGAUAUUGGAAGUUAAAACUCUACAACCUCGUGUUCUUAAUUCUGAUUGGGAAAGAUAUUGGAAGUUAAAACCUUACAACCUCAUUGAUCAACAUUGACUUUUUACCUAGAUAUAGUCUCGAAAAAGUCAAAAUAUAAAUAAGCAGAACCUGAAUCAUCUGGCUGAUGUACACUUUGGGUACAUACACAAUGAUCGAAAUCAUUCAAAGAAAACCAUUAAUUUGCUAGCAAGGAUCAGCUUCAUAAAUCAACAAAUGAUAUAUGUCAAAGGCUCCUCUUGACUUAAACAAGUUCAUCAACCGUCGAAAGUAAGGACUACAAGUAUCGUGGUUGAACGACAUCGUUGUCAUGAACUUUUAUUCAUCUGCUUGCACUUGCAGAGAGCAUCGGUGACCAAGUUUAAACAGUGACCAAGUUUAAACAGAUAUGUUCCUUCUUCCUUUACAUGUAGUUAGUAAGGUUAACCAUGCCAAGAUAUUGAAAUGCCUGAACUGAGGAUAUGAUAUAUUAUUAUUCAUCCAUCUAGAUAAAUGUAGUUUUUGUACAUGGAGAAUAUGGAUAAAGUAGUGAUUUUGUUGCUUCGGAAACUGUGAAAAAGAUGACCAUUGGUUGAAUUUGAGCUGAAGGUGUAAAAGGUUAAACAGGGAAAGGAAGGGAAGAGUAUGUCUUCAAUAUGGGGAAGACUCUCCCAAUUUCUCAGGGGAUUGAAGUAUUAAUCUGUAAACCCAGAUCCUCUUUAUCCUCAUCAAUGCUUUUUUUUUCUUUUCUUUUUUUUUUUUGGGAAUUUUCAAUGGCUGAACAUUACAUGUGCACUCUUUUCAAUGAUCUAGUGUUGUGAACAUUAAGCUUUUGCAAGACUCACAUGCAUGUACUGUUUAGAUUUACUCCCAAUCUUACUUUUAGCUAAUGGAUUAGUUGAUUUAAUAUCA